RNAcentral lists this ribosomal RNA (879 nucleotides) under Bacillus subtilis. Its description in RNAcentral is "bacterial SSU rRNA". It matches the Rfam family "Bacterial small subunit ribosomal RNA", at positions 1 to 834 of the family's 1533-position model. Lineage: Bacteria; Bacillati; Bacillota; Bacilli; Caryophanales; Bacillaceae. The record is from RNAcentral.
CCUAGAAAUGCUGCAUUGGAUACUAGUAACCCGUUAGAGUUUGAUCCUGGCUCAGGACGAACGCUGGCGGCGUGCCUAAUACAUGCAAGUCGAGCGGACAGAUGGGAGCUUGCUCCCUGAUGUUAGCGGCGGACGGGUGAGUAACACGUGGGUAACCUGCCUGUAAGACUGGGAUAACUCCGGGAAACCGGGGCUAAUACCGGAUGGUUGUUUGAACCGCAUGGUUCAAACAUAAAAGGUGGCUUCGGCUACCACUUACAGAUGGACCCGCGGCGCAUUAGCUAGUUGGUGAGGUAACGGCUCACCAAGGCAACGAUGCGUAGCCGACCUGAGAGGGUGAUCGGCCACACUGGGACUGAGACACGGCCCAGACUCCUACGGGAGGCAGCAGUAGGGAAUCUUCCGCAAUGGACGAAAGUCUGACGGAGCAACGCCGCGUGAGUGAUGAAGGUUUUCGGAUCGUAAAGCUCUGUUGUUAGGGAAGAACAAGUACCGUUCGAAUAGGGCGGUACCUUGACGGUACCUAACCAGAAAGCCACGGCUAACUACGUGCCAGCAGCCGCGGUAAUACGUAGGUGGCAAGCGUUGUCCGGAAUUAUUGGGCGUAAAGGGCUCGCAGGCGGUUUCUUAAGUCUGAUGUGAAAGCCCCCGGCUCAACCGGGGAGGGUCAUUGGAAACUGGGGAACUUGAGUGCAGAAGAGGAGAGUGGAAUUCCACGUGUAGCGGUGAAAUGCGUAGAGAUGUGGAGGAACACCAGUGGCGAAGGCGACUCUCUGGUCUGUAACUGACGCUGAGGAGCGAAAGCGUGGGGAGCGAACAGGAUUAGAUACCCUGGUAGUCCACGCCGUAAACGAUGAGUGCUAAGUGUUAGGGGGUUUC